This 1357-nucleotide long non-coding RNA is filed under the name Homo sapiens (human). RNAcentral's name for it is "HSALNT0354380". Lineage: Eukaryota; Metazoa; Chordata; Mammalia; Primates; Hominidae. The record is from RNAcentral.
AGAUGGAAUAUUGCAUACAAGGUUGCACAGCAAGUGUGAUGGGUGGUGACUUAUACCUCAACCCCAACCUUGCAAGUUGGCCAUGUGGUUGUGACAUUUCUUCAUGCCAUUCUCAGAACACCAGUGAACAAAAACGAUGUUGUUUGGGUAGAUUAGCAUUCCUGGGGUUUGAGUCUUUAAAAUGUGGUUGUUUAGAAGUUUGAGAGAGGUUAGUCUUACAGAAAAGCACCUUGGGUUUUGCAUGGCCAUGUUAGCAGGACAAGCAGCACCCAUAGGCUAUCCUGAGUUCCUGACACCAGUGACCUUCCCGGGUUUGGCCCAGCAUGCUUCUCUGUUCCCAACCAGAGCAUGGCUUGGGUAGUGUCCCACUUGCUGGUUUUUGUGCUGGCCUCCACACUGGACCUUGAGAUGCCCUGCCUGUGUAUCAUUUGGCAGCUCAUCUGGCCCCAAAGACCUGAGCAGAUCUGUCCUCUUCCUGCCUGGCCUGCCUCCAAAGUCUGAUGCCUGGUCCUUGUCUUGAUGUUGGCUUGAACUGGACAGUUUCUGUCAUUAUCCUGGCCACACAUUCAAGGUUACUUGAUGGAGAUGCCCUGAGGACUUUGGGAAUCUACAGCGUCUGCCGCAUGCCAGAUAUGACCUCACAGUGAUAAAAAAGUACGUUCUUAGUUCCUGUCCAAAUGUUAGACGACACCAGCAGAAGAACAGCAAAGCCUAGUCUGGGUCAUUUCCUAUGACUACAAAAUCAUUAGAUACAAAAAGGUUGUUCUGCCUUUCUGGAACUUGCAACUCUGAGGCUUCAGCAAGAGGGCGACGCCUGAGCCCCUGCCCAUUUCUCCAAGCAUGCAGGCAUUAUAUAACUGCAUUGACAAACAGCCACCUGUCUCUGGCAGUGUGACCUGAAACCCAUUCUCUGAGACUUGUCUGCGGGCUCUCAGUAUACACUGUAACCGAGGAAAUGCAUGCUUUACAGAUGUUUAUCUCCUAAUUAAGAAUCUGAUGUGCCACUUACGGUAAUGUACUUGCUCAUGCUAAUAGUUUCUCUUUCCUCAGAGGAUCUGCCAGGGCGGAUUUGAUGCAACAAAAGAGAGUGUCCCUGGUGUGUUUUAAUUAGGCUAUUGGUCUCCAGUCAUGGUGAGUACCAGGUGCCAGGCCUGCUGCAAAGCAGUUCAGAUCAACAACCAUCCACUGAUUUCUAUUCUAAGGUGAAUGAGGUAGACUCUGCUUUUGAGGAGCUUUCAGCCUCCAGGGAGGGGGCUUGACAGACACAGAUGACUAAUUAGCAUGCAAGGUGUUCAGUGCUCUAAACCAGUCCUGUGGGCUGAGGACUUGGAAUUCCACUGGAGGCUUGGAGUUUAGU